UUGCCUACGGGGGGCAGCAGUGAGGAAUAUUGGUCAAUGGGCGCAGGCCUGAACCAGCCAAGUCGCGUGAGGGAAGACUGCCCUAUGGGUUGUAAACCUCUUUUAUAAGGGAAGAAUAAUGGCUACGUGUAGCCGGACUGAGAGUACCUGAAGAAAAAGCAUCGGCUAACUCCGUGCCAGCAGCCGCGGUAAUACGGAGGAUGCGAGCGUUAUCCGGAUUUAUUGGGUUUAAGGGGUGCGUAGGCGGAAUGCCAAGUCAGCGGUAAAAUCGCGGGGCUCAACCUCGCUCCGCCGUUGAAACUGGC
Molecule: ribosomal RNA, 305 nt
Filed under: uncultured bacterium
Lineage: Bacteria
Description: bacterial SSU rRNA
Rfam family: Bacterial small subunit ribosomal RNA
Source: RNAcentral